Molecule: ribosomal RNA, 41 nt
Filed under: Husnotiella hedysariformis
Lineage: Eukaryota; Viridiplantae; Streptophyta; Bryopsida; Pottiales; Pottiaceae
Description: Didymodon hedysariformis partial 5.8S ribosomal RNA
Source: RNAcentral
AUACAACUCUCAGCAACGGAUAUCUUGGCUCUUGCAACGAU